RNAcentral lists this long non-coding RNA (215 nucleotides) under Salvia miltiorrhiza (redroot sage). RNAcentral's name for it is "long non-coding RNA (SMIL_LNC013886)". The record is from RNAcentral. Lineage: Eukaryota; Viridiplantae; Streptophyta; Magnoliopsida; Lamiales; Lamiaceae.
AGGCUAGAGAAAGAGGGAUGAUCGGGCCUACAAGUUCAGCUGUAGGCCCUUGAGACAGUUGCAAAAAAUUCGUGUAAAUAGCAUUGUUACACGAAUUUUGAGGCCCCCAAUAUGUUAUAAAUAGCAUUGUUACGUGAAUUUUGAGGGCAUAAUAUGUUAUAAAUAUAGUUAUUAUUUUCAAAAUUUUAUCUACAUGAAUAAAAUUUCAUUUUGCU